Molecule: small RNA, 426 nt
Filed under: Pan troglodytes (chimpanzee)
Lineage: Eukaryota; Metazoa; Chordata; Mammalia; Primates; Hominidae
Description: retained intron
Source: RNAcentral
AAUACUGGACACAUUGGCACAACUCAGCACAUGAUACAACAACAGACUUUACAGAGUACAUCAACUCAGAGUCAACAAAAUGUACUGAGUGGGCACAGUCAGCAAACAUCUCUACCCAGUCAGACACAGAGCACUCUUACAGCCCCACUGUAUAACACUAUGGUGAUUUCUCAGCCUGCAGCCGGAAGCAUGGUCCAGAUUCCAUCUAGUAUGCCACAAAACAGCACCCAGAGUGCUGCAGUAACUACAUUCACUCAGGACAGGCAGAUAAGGUAGUUGUCAUAUUUCAUUUGUUAUUUUGAAAAUUGUAAACCGAUUGAUUAGAAAACAAUAAUUUGAUUUCUUAAUCAAAUUUUUUAAUGUGAUUUUAAUGAGAUGCUCACUGCAGCCAAUGUUCUUAAAUUUGAAAUAAAAACACUGAAUGUA